Molecule: ribosomal RNA, 253 nt
Filed under: uncultured bacterium
Lineage: Bacteria
Description: partial 16S ribosomal RNA
Rfam family: Bacterial small subunit ribosomal RNA
Source: RNAcentral
UACGUAGGUGGCAAGCGUUGUCCGGAUUUAUUGGGUUUAAAGGGUGCGUAGGCGGCUUUGUAAGUCAGUGGUGAAAUAUGGCAGCUCAACUGUCAAGGUGCCAUUGAUACUGCAGAGCUUGAGUACAGAUGAGGUAGGCGGAAUUGACGGUGUAGCGAUGAAAUGCUUAGAUAUCGUCAAGAACACCUAUAGCGAAGGCAGCUUACUAGGCUGUAACUGACGCUGAGGCACGAAAGUGUGGGGAUCAAACAGG